GAAAGUGAUCUGGUAUUGGGAUCUACCUCCCCAGUGAUCACCAAGGUUGUAUCACGUAAACUGGCUGGGUGGGCAUACCCCUCUCCUUCACCACUCCAUUUACUUUUCUCCCAAAGAUGUCCAUUCACUCUAGUUAGAAGACUAGACACAAACACAGAAUGCUGGAGGAGAAAGUCCAACCAGAGUUGAUUCAAAAGACCAAGGGGUGAGGUAGCUAAACAUGGAGACAACUUUUCCACGAAGUUCAUUGUGAAAAUGUGCAUAGACAU
Molecule: small RNA, 269 nt
Filed under: Vicugna pacos (alpaca)
Lineage: Eukaryota; Metazoa; Chordata; Mammalia; Artiodactyla; Camelidae
Description: 7SK RNA (ENSVPAG00000017422.1)
Source: RNAcentral